This 484-nucleotide ribosomal RNA is filed under the name uncultured bacterium. Its description in RNAcentral is "partial 16S ribosomal RNA". It matches the Rfam family "Bacterial small subunit ribosomal RNA", at positions 30 to 507 of the family's 1533-position model. The record is from RNAcentral.
AUUGAACGCUGGCGGCAGGCCUAACACAUGCAAGUCGAGCGGAUGAAGGGAGCUUGCUCCCGGAUUCAGCGGCGGACGGGUGAGUAAUGCCUAGGAAUCUGCCUGGUAGUGGGGGAUAACGUCCGGAAACGGGCGCUAAUACCGCAUACGUCCUGAGGGAGAAAGUGGGGGAUCUUCGGACCUCACGCUAUCAGAUGAGCCUAGGUCGGAUUAGCUAGUUGGUGGGGUAAAGGCCUACCAAGGCGACGAUCCGUAACUGGUCUGAGAGGAUGAUCAGUCACACUGGAACUGAGACACGGUCCAGACUCCUACGGGAGGCAGCAGUGUGGAAUAUUGGACAAUGGGCGAAAGCCUGAUCCAGCCAUGCCGCGUGUGUGAAGAAGGUCUUCGGAUUGUAAAGCACUUUAAGUUGGGAGGAAGGGCAGUAAGUUAAUACCUUGCUGUUUUGACGUUACCAACAGAAUAAGCACCGGCUAACUUCGUG